This 433-nucleotide ribosomal RNA is filed under the name uncultured bacterium. RNAcentral's name for it is "partial 16S ribosomal RNA". It matches the Rfam family "Bacterial small subunit ribosomal RNA", at positions 29 to 507 of the family's 1533-position model. The record is from RNAcentral.
AACGAACGCUGGCGGCAUGCCUAACACAUGCAAGUCGAACGAGACCUUCGGGUCUAGUGGCGCACGGGUGCGUAACGCGUGGGAAUCUGCCCUUCGGUUGGGAAUAACUGAGAGAAAUUUCAGCUAAUACCUUAUAAUGUCUUCGGACCAAAGAUUUAUCGCCGAGGGAUGAGCCCGCGUAGGAUUAGGUAGUUCGUGGGGUAAUGGCCUACCAAGCCGACGAUCCUUAGCUGGUCUGAGAGGAUGAUCAGCCACACUGGGACUGAGACACGGCCCAGACUCCUACGGGAGGCAGCAGUGGGGAAUAUUGGACAAUGGGCGAAAGCCUGAUCCAGCAAUGCCGCGUGAGUGAUGAAGGCCUUAGGGUUGUAAAGCUCUUUUACCCGGGAUGAUAAUGACAGUACCGGGAGAAUAAGCUCCGGCUAACUCCGUG